This 253-nucleotide ribosomal RNA is filed under the name uncultured bacterium. RNAcentral describes it as "partial 16S ribosomal RNA". It matches the Rfam family "Bacterial small subunit ribosomal RNA", at positions 524 to 776 of the family's 1533-position model. The record is from RNAcentral.
UACGUAGGGUGCAAGCGUUGUCCGGAAUUAUUGGGCGUAAAGAGCUUGUAGGCGGUUUGUCGCGUCUGCUGUGAAAAUCCGGGGCUCAACCCCGGACUUGCAGUGGGUACGGGCAGACUAGAGUGUGGUAGGGGAGACUGGAAUUCCUGGUGUAGCGGUGGAAUGCGCAGAUGUCAGGAGGAACACCGAUGGCGAAGGCAGGUCUCUGGGCCACUACUGACGCUGAGAAGCGAAAGCAUGGGGAGCGAACAGG